Molecule: ribosomal RNA, 449 nt
Filed under: uncultured bacterium
Lineage: Bacteria
Description: partial 16S ribosomal RNA
Rfam family: Bacterial small subunit ribosomal RNA
Source: RNAcentral
AACGAACGCUGGCGGCAUGCCUAACACAUGCAAGUCGAACGAGACCUUCGGGUCUAGUGGCGCACGGGUGCGUAACGCGUGGGAAUCUGCCCUUGGGUUCGGAAUAACAGCGAGAAAUUGCUGCUAAUACCGGAUGAAGUCUUCGGACCAAAGAUUUAUCGCCCAGGGAUGAGCCCGCGUAGGAUUAGGUAGUUGGUGGGGUAAUGGCUCACCAAGCCGACGAUCCUUAGCUGGUCUGAGAGGAUGAUCAGCCACACUGGGACUGAGACACGGCCCAGACUCCUACGGGAGGCAGCAGUGGGGAAUAUUGGACAAUGGGCGAAAGCCUGAUCCAGCAAUGCCGCGUGAGUGAUGAAGGCCUUAGGGUUGUAAAGCUCUUUUACCAGGGAUGAUAAUGACAGUACCUGGAGAAUAAGCUCCGGCUAACUCCGUGCCAGCCGCCGCUGUAA